AUUGAACGCUGGCGGCAUGCCUUACACAUGCAAGUCGAACGGUAACGGGCCUUCGGGUGCCGACGAGUGGCGAACGGGUGAGUAAUGCAUCGGAACGUACCUUUCAGUGGGGGAUAACGUAGCGAAAGUUACGCUAAUACCGCAUAUUCUGUGAGCAGGAAAGCAGGGGAUCGCAAGACCUUGCGCUGAUUGAGCGGCCGAUGUCAGAUUAGCUAGUUGGUGAGGUAAAGGCUCACCAAGGCGACGAUCUGUAGCGGGUCUGAGAGGAUGAUCCGCCACACUGGAACUGAGACACGGUCCAGACUCCUACGGGAGGCAGCAGUGGGGAAUUUGGACAAUGGGGGCAACCCUGAUCCAGCCAUGCCGCGUGAGUGAAGAAGGCCUUCGGGUUGUAAAGCUCUUUCGGUCCGGGAAGAAUCGUAUGGGUUAAUACCCUGUGCGGAUGACGGUACCGGCAUAAGAAGCACCGGCUAACUACGUGCCAGCAGCGACC
Molecule: ribosomal RNA, 493 nt
Filed under: uncultured bacterium
Lineage: Bacteria
Description: bacterial SSU rRNA
Rfam family: Bacterial small subunit ribosomal RNA
Source: RNAcentral